Molecule: regulatory RNA element, 119 nt
Organism: Intestinimonas butyriciproducens
Lineage: Bacteria; Bacillati; Bacillota; Clostridia; Eubacteriales
Rfam family: TPP riboswitch aptamer (THI element)
About the family: Vitamin B(1) in its active form thiamin pyrophosphate (TPP) is an essential coenzyme that is synthesised by coupling of pyrimidine and thiazole moieties in bacteria. The previously detected thiamin-regulatory element, thi box was extended, resulting in a new, highly conserved RNA secondary structure, the THI element, which is widely distributed in eubacteria and also occurs in some archaea.
Source: Rfam
AAUCGAAUACAGGGGCGCUGGACGCAAGUCCGGCUGAGAUGCAGGGGCGUAGCGCCGCCCCCGGUCCCUUGAACCUGAUCCGGGUAAUGCCGGCGUAGGAAGAUGAUUCGGCUUUUCAU